GACGGAGGAGGCAAGCGUUAUCCGGAAUUAUUGGGCGUAAAGCGUCCGUAGGUGGUUAUUCAAGUCUUUUGUUAAAUAGUGGAGCUCAACUCCAUAGAGGCGGAAGAAACUGAGUAACUUGAGUGCGGUAGGGGUAGAGGGAAUUCCAGGUGUAACGGUGAAAUGCGUAGAUAUCUGGAAGAACACCAGUGGCGAAGGCGCUCUACUGGGCCGUAACUGACACUGAGGGACGAAAGCUAGGGGAGCGAAAGGG
RNAcentral lists this ribosomal RNA (253 nucleotides) under uncultured bacterium. Its description in RNAcentral is "partial 16S ribosomal RNA". It matches the Rfam family "Bacterial small subunit ribosomal RNA", at positions 524 to 776 of the family's 1533-position model. The record is from RNAcentral.